RNAcentral lists this ribosomal RNA (549 nucleotides) under uncultured Glomeromycotina. RNAcentral's name for it is "SSU rRNA". It matches the Rfam family "Eukaryotic small subunit ribosomal RNA", at positions 548 to 1098 of the family's 1831-position model. The record is from RNAcentral. Lineage: Eukaryota; Fungi; Glomeromycota.
UUGGAGGGCAAGUCUGGUGCCAGCAGCCGCGGUAAUUCCAGCUCCAAUAGCGUAUAUUAAAGUUGUUGCAGUUAAAAAGCUCGUAGUUGAAUUUCGGGGUUAGUAGGUUGGUCAUGCCUCUGGUAUGUACUGGUCUCACUGAUUCCUCCUUCCUGAUGAGCCGUAAUGCCAUUCAUUUGGUGUUGCGGGGAAUUUGGACUGUUACUUUGAAAAAAUUAGAGUGUUUAAAGCAAGCUAACGCUUGAAUACAUUAGCAUGGAAUAAUGAAAUAGGACGUUCGAUCCUAUUUUGUUGGUUUCUAGGAUUGACGUAAUGAUUAAUAGGGAUAGUUGGGGGCAUUAGUAUUCAAUUGUCAGAGGUGAAAUUCUUGGAUUUAUUGAAGACUAACUACUGCGAAAGCAUUUGCCAAGGAUGUUUUCAUUAAUCAAGAACGAAAGUUAGGGGAUCGAAGACGAUCAGAUACCGUCGUAGUCUAAACCAUAAACUAUGCCGACUAGGGAUCGGAUGAUGUUAAUUUUUUAAUGACUCAUUCGGCGCCUUACGGGAAAC